AGUUGUCUGCGGUGUACGAGAGACACGUAUUGUGUGGACCGAACAAUUAUUCUUAUCUUGGGAUCCUAUGAUCGAGUAACUAUGACAAGCCUUUUACACUUGGACGUCAGAAACUACUUGUGGGGAGCCCACCUGUAUAUACAUACAGGUUCAAGACAUAUGUGUUAAGAAACGGCACUACCGGAUAACUU
This 191-nucleotide non-coding RNA is filed under the name Ignavigranum ruoffiae. RNAcentral's name for it is "6S / SsrS RNA". It matches the Rfam family "6S / SsrS RNA". Rfam says of the family: E. coli 6S RNA was the first non coding RNA to be sequenced, but its function was unknown until recently. It consists of 184 nucleotides that fold into an extended hairpin structure with a large single-stranded internal bulge. Lineage: Bacteria; Bacillati; Bacillota; Bacilli; Lactobacillales; Aerococcaceae. The record is from Rfam by way of RNAcentral.